CUUGAGAAAUGUUAUUUUAGAAAUUCAAUUUGAUAGGUUUGCCAGUCUGGUCUUGUGGACUUCCUUCAAUCACUUUGAAUUUGUGAACUUAAUUGCAUGAUUUGCUUAGCUCAAAGUUUUUGCAGUCCAAUUAUUCUUAUAUGUUCUUCCUAAUUCUUUUCAGUUCAUUUAGUAAAUUGAUGCCAUUUUUUUGCUUAAGUGGAGAAUUGAGCCGUGAAUGUAAAAAAUAACUUAGGCUAGAAAGGCAGAUUUUAGAAAUUGAUAGUACUGUCAGACUGUAAUGUGUAUGAAUAGGAAAAAGUUAUCAUGUUAGUUUCUCAAAUCAUACCAUUUUCCUCCUAUUCCUUCAUGUUUAUUUCAUUCAUGAUGCUUUUGCACAAAAAAUGUUUUUGACAUUACAUUUUGUAGGCAUGAGUAAAAUUAUUGCCCUUGCACAUGCAAAUGCUUGGCAUAUGUGACUGAUUAGUUUGAUGACUUGUCUUUUGCACAAUAUUAAAUUUCCUGAUGGUGCAUCAUUUGACAGAAGUUGAGGCUACUGAAAGAUUCUAUGUUUUCUAAAGCUCAGACAACCAUAAAAAACUACGGGUUUAUGCAAUAUGGACUAAGUGAAGAAUUUCUUGGAUCAGUUAUGCAAAGGAGUUGCACACUGCCAUGGCCAUGGUAUCCUUCACCGAAGGGAAUACUAAAGAUUGCUGAUCUGGGACUCGGUAGGGCUUUCACUGUGCCCUAAAAGCUACACCCAUGAGGUACUGCUUACCAUUUGGAGUUGGAAGGCUCGAUGCAAUUUUAGUUUUUAAAGAAAUUUCUGGGCAUGAUCCAUUAAGCUCUUUAUAUUAUGUAUUUAUGUAGAUUGUGACACUUUUGGUAUAGAUCUCCUGAAGUUAUUUUUCUCUUAUCCUGUUGAAGGAACACUAGCACAUAACAUUUUGCUGCAA
This is a long non-coding RNA of Zea mays, 935 nucleotides long. RefSeq lists it as uncharacterized. NCBI's taxonomy places the organism in Eukaryota, Viridiplantae, Streptophyta, Magnoliopsida, Poales, Poaceae. The record is from RefSeq and is a predicted model, not a curated record. The transcript is spliced from 3 exons.